This 73-nucleotide transfer RNA is filed under the name Zea mays. It matches the Rfam family "tRNA". From Rfam's summary of the family: Transfer RNA (tRNA) molecules are approximately 80 nucleotides in length. Their secondary structure includes four short double-helical elements and three loops (D, anti-codon, and T loops). Lineage: Eukaryota; Viridiplantae; Streptophyta; Magnoliopsida; Poales; Poaceae. The record is from Rfam by way of RNAcentral.
GCUCGUCUAGCUCAAUUGAUAGAGUGUAUGACUUUUGACCUUGAGGUUGUGGGUUCGAGCCCCAUGGUGGGUA